GAGCGGUAGCACGGGGGAGCUUGCUCCCUGGGUGACGAGCGGCGGACGGGUGAGUAAUGUCUGGGAAACUGCCUGAUGGUGGGGGAUAACUACUGGAAACGGUAGCUAAUACCGCAUAACGUCGCAAGACCAAAGAGGGGGACCUUCGGGCCUCUUGCCAUCAGAUGUGCCCAGAUGGGAUUAGCUAGUAGGUGGGGUAAUGGCUCACCUAGGCGACGAUCCCUAGCUGGUCUGAGAGGAUGACCAGCCACACUGGAACUGAGACACGGUCCAGACUCCUACGGGAGGCAGCAGUGGAGAAUAUUGCACAAUGGGCGCAAGCCUGAUGCAGCCAUGCCGCGUGUGUGAAGAAGGCCUUCGGGUUGUAAAGCACUUUCAGCGAGGAGGAAGGUGAUGAACUUAAUACGUUCAUCAAUUGACGUUACUCGCAGAAGAAGCACCGGCUAACUCCGUGCCAGCAGCCGCGGUAAUACGGAGGGUGCAAGCGUUAAUCGGAAUUACUGGGCGUAAAGCGCACGCAGGCGGUUUGUUAAGUCAGAUGUGAAAUCCCCGGGCUCAACCUGGGAACUGCAUUUGAAACUGGCAAGCUAGAGUCUCGUAGAGGGGGGUAGAAUUCCAGGUGUAGCGGUGAAAUGCGUAGAGAUCUGGAGGAAUACCGGUGGCGAAGGCGGCCCCCUGGACGAAGACUGACGCUCAGGUGCGAAAGCGUGGGGAGCAAACAGGAUUAGAUACCCUGGUAGUCCACGCUGUAAACGAUGUCGAUUUGGAGGUUGUGCCCUUGAGGCGUGGCUUCCGGAGCUAACGCGUUAAAUCGACCGCCUGGGGAGUACGGCCGCAAGGUUAAAACUCAAAUGAAUUGACGGGGGCCCGCACAAGCGGUGGAGCAUGUGGUUUAAUUCGAUGCAACGCGAAGAACCUUACCUACUCUUGACAUCCAGAGAACUUAGCAAAGAUGGAUUGGUGCCUUCGGGAACUUUGAGACAGGGGCUGCAUGGCUGUC
This 1000-nucleotide ribosomal RNA is filed under the name uncultured bacterium. RNAcentral's name for it is "bacterial SSU rRNA". It matches the Rfam family "Bacterial small subunit ribosomal RNA", at positions 64 to 1053 of the family's 1533-position model. The record is from RNAcentral.